RNAcentral lists this ribosomal RNA (255 nucleotides) under uncultured bacterium. Its description in RNAcentral is "partial 16S ribosomal RNA". It matches the Rfam family "Bacterial small subunit ribosomal RNA", at positions 524 to 776 of the family's 1533-position model. The record is from RNAcentral.
UACGAAGGGUGCAAGCGUUACUCGGAAUCACUGGGCGUAAAGCGUGCGUAGGCGGUUCGUUAAGUCUGCUGUGAAAGCCCUGGGCUCAACCUGGGAACUGCAGUGGAUACUGGCGGACUAGAGUGUGAUAGAGGAUGGUGGAAUUCCCGGUGUAGCGGUGAAAUGCGUAGAGAUCGGGGAGGAACACCAGUGGCGAAGGCGGCCAUCUGGAUCAACACUGACGCUGAGGCACGAAAGCGUGGGGGAGCAAACAGG